UCCCGGAUGUUAGCGGCGGACGGGUGAGUAACACGUGGGUAACCUGCCUGGAAGACUGGGAUAACUCCGGGAAACCGGAGCUAAUACCGGAUAGUUCCUUGAACCGCAUGGUUCAAGGAUGAAAGACGGUUUCGGCUGUCACUUACAGAUGGACCCGCGGCGCAUUAGCUAGUUGGUGAGGUAACGGCUCACCAAGGCGACGAUGCGUAGCCGACCUGAGAGGGUGAUCGGCCACACUGGGACUGAGACACGGCCCAGACUCCUACGGGAGGCAGCAGUAGGGAAUCUUCCGCAAUGGACGAAAGUCUGACGGAGCAACGCCGCGUGAGUGAUGAAGGUUUUCGGAUCGUAAAGCUCUGUUGUUAGGGAAGAACAAGUGCAAGAGUAACUGCUUGCACCUUGACGGUACCUAACCAGAAAGCCACGGCUAACUACGUGCCAGCAGCCGCGGUAAUACGUAGGUGGCAAGCGUUGUCCGGAAUUAUUGGGCGUAAAGGGCU
This 500-nucleotide ribosomal RNA is filed under the name Bacillus aerius. RNAcentral describes it as "bacterial SSU rRNA". It matches the Rfam family "Bacterial small subunit ribosomal RNA", at positions 83 to 569 of the family's 1533-position model. The record is from RNAcentral. Lineage: Bacteria; Bacillati; Bacillota; Bacilli; Caryophanales; Bacillaceae.